AUUUAAUAAAUUCUUAAUUUUAUGAUAUAAAAUGAUGUAAACAUUCACGAAAACUACAUUAAGUCCAUGCUUCUAUUGAAAUAUAAAAUAACUCUAUUGAGUAAUUUUAUAAUUUUUAAAAACAAAAAUUACCUAUAUAAGUAACUAAAAAAAAUAACUUGUUUAAGUAACGCCCCUGACUGAUAUAUAUAUUAAGGUAGGAAACUCAAGAUAGAAUCAUAGGAUGAAUUUAAAAGAUAAAGAUAUCAUCUAGAGAGAAACUAAAAAAAGUUUCCAAAAAAUGAGAAGAGACAAUUAUAAUGGCCCUUGUUUACCCCAGAAAUUGGAAAGUUACCAAUAUGUCUUCCCAAAUUUGUCUUGACUGCAAUAAGUUACAAAUUAAAUGUAUUUAAAAAAUUAGAAAUUAAACUAAUUUAACAUUUGAUGAGCUGCCCUGUCAACAAACUAGUGAAAAGUUUAUAUUUUGUGUGAAAUUUCUAAAUUUUCCUUGAAGUACAUCAACUUUUAAGUAUAUAUUAGAUUGAAAAAUUAUGUGGCACCAUAGAAACUACUUUUUAUUUGAUUAGAAUAUUUAAAUAGUUAUCAUAAAGUUUCUAUAAUAUUAUUUUGUUGUUUCUUGUCUGCACAUGUUUCCACAAUGAAAAUAAUGAUGAAAAAAUGCUGGGUUUAUCCAUUUCUUUGUUAUAACAUCAAAAAUCUCACUUAAUUGAUUUUCAUUCCUUGAUUUUAUGCAUUUCAAAACAAUAUGUGUAAUUUUAAAAUAAUUCUCAAAAACUUAAAUUUUUGGGUCACAUUUAGUUCCCACUACUCCUUUAUACAUAAACGCACAGUACUAUGGUAUAACCAUUUUGCUAUUAUAAUUUAAUAUCAUCAAAUUCAACUCUUUUGUAAACUUUAUUAUAACAUUUUGAGUUAAAAACAUGUAAAACAUUUUUUCUUCUUCUGAACCUUGUAAGGGAGGUAACUUUAAAAUGGGAGACAACUUAUGUAAAUCAAUAUAUGGGCUGUUCCGAAUUGUUAGGUAUUUAUACAUUUUGAAUUUGUCAAAAUACAAUAUUGAUUGUUUUAAGUUAUAAAGACAUUUAUUUGUAUAUUUCUUACAACACUGCGAAAGUUUUUGUUAAUUAAUAUAUAUUGCAUGAUUUUAAUAUAAUUAAAAACGGUAUGUUGAUGCAGUGUUUUCAUGCAUAAAUCAGAUUCUCUCAAAUUAUUAAAUGUUGUUACUCAGGUCUCUGUAAUAACGGAACAUACAAGGUAUGCAUCCAGAUGAUAGUAAUCAGUUAUUUACUGCUUUCUGUUGUUUUUUUAAUUUGUUUGAAACAUUACUAGCUAGAUUUAGUAAGAACUGUCACAAAAUGACGCAUUUGAAGAUGGUAGAGAUUUUUUCAGAUAAGUAAAGUGAAAUUUAUUUGUUGUUAUUGUUUUGAUAUGUUAAGGCCUAUUUUUUCUGUAUAACAACUAGUUGAAGUUUACAUAUUUCUGAUUUUUUUUUUAUAUUUGUUAAAAUAUGUGACAUUAAAUAAAACAUGACAUUGUAGCUAUAUUUUGUCUUUAAGGUUACCAGAAAGUAGCCAGCCUUUUUGGAACUGUACAUGUGUAUGAUCAUAGAUGUUAGGGGAAACAUUUUGUAUAAAUGAUAAGUUACGCUAUUUUGUGAUUUUUGGGAUACGAUUGCUGUCAAGCAAUCUGUAGACUUUUACCGUUGACUCAUGCUACAUUCCCUCACGUCAUUCGUUUUAUUCUAAACAUUCAGCAACGUCUCAGAUUCUUAUGAUUGUCUUGCUUUAAAAGGUAAAAACAAGC
RNAcentral lists this long non-coding RNA (1803 nucleotides) under Mytilus galloprovincialis (Mediterranean mussel). The record is from RNAcentral. Lineage: Eukaryota; Metazoa; Mollusca; Bivalvia; Mytilida; Mytilidae.